Molecule: long non-coding RNA, 654 nt
Organism: Myotis davidii
Lineage: Eukaryota; Metazoa; Chordata; Mammalia; Chiroptera; Vespertilionidae
Exons: 3
Source: RefSeq, a predicted model, not a curated record
GCCCUGUCCCAGCCUUGCGGGGUGUGGCCAGCGCGCAGGUGGGAACCCAGGCGGGCGAGAAUUUUUUUUCAAAAGUGGUCUUCAUUUCUGCAAUGGGGUAGUAAUGCUGGAACCAGAAGGCCCGUUCAAAAUGACCGAGCAAACACCUGCCCUCGCUGACCUCUAAAGGUUAACACAUACUAAAGAACAAUGCUGUGUGAGGAGCAGAGGAACUGUGGGAAACUCUGCUGUCUGAAAUGAAAGCUAGGCACUCUCCAGUAACAGCUGGUGGAUUCCUGACUUCCGCCCAGGGGAGGCCUGUUCACGCUGAGAGAGCUCUUCCCCAAGGGAGGAAUCACCUGCUUUGAUUCUUGCUGUCGUCCUCUUCUGAGCUAGUUCGGUCAUCCACUCUGUAUAAACUUGUGUGUCCACAUGAAGACAAAAAAAGAGAGUUGAAUUGAUAGAUGGUGUGGGAGCCUCCCAAGGCUCUCAUAGUUGCAAUGACUAUGGAAGACAGGAGAACACUGGCUAUAAUCUUUAUUUUCAGCACUAAGUGUCUGGGCCUAUCACUAAAAAUCUUCUUCAUUGCUUCCAACCAAUCGAUACUACGGUUAAAAGGUCUUUUUCCUUAAACCCGAUGGGUGUAAAAAUAAAAAGUAACAGCAUUUCUCUAGA